RNAcentral lists this ribosomal RNA (377 nucleotides) under uncultured bacterium. RNAcentral describes it as "partial 16S ribosomal RNA". It matches the Rfam family "Bacterial small subunit ribosomal RNA", at positions 338 to 732 of the family's 1533-position model. The record is from RNAcentral.
CCUACGGGUGGCUGCAGUGGGGGAUAUUGCACAAUGGGGGAAACCCUGAUGCAGCGACGCCGCGUGCGCGAUGAAGUGCUUCGGAAUGUAAAGCUCUGUCAGCAGGGAAGAAAAUGACGGUACCUGACUAAGAAGCCCCGGCUAACUACGUGCCAGCAGCCGCGGUAAUACGUAGGGGGCAAGCGUUAUCCGGAUUUAAUGGGUGUAAAGGGAGCGUAGACGGCAGUGCAAGUCUGGAGUGAAAGGCAAGGGCUCAACCCUUGGACUGCUUUGGAAACUAGGCAGCUGGAGUGUCGGAGAGGCAAGAGGAAUUCCUAGUGAAGCGGUGAAAUGCGUAGAUAUAAGGAGGAACACCAGUGGCGAAGGCGGCUUGCUGG